AGAGUUUGAUCAUGGCUCAGAACGAACGUUAGCGGCGCGCUUAACACAUGCAAGUCGAACGAGAAAGCACNUUCGGGUGUGAGUAAAGUGGCGAACGGGUGAGUAUCACGUGGGUUAUCUGCCCUUUGGUGGGGGACAACACUUCGAAAGGAGUGCUAAUACCGCAUAAGUCGGCUUCGGCCGGGAAAGACGGCUUCGGCUGUCGCCAGAGGAUGAGCCCGCGGCCCAUCAGCUUGUUGGUAGGGUAAUGGCCUACCAAGGCUACGACGGGUAGCUGGUCUUAGAGGACGAUCAGCCACACUGGAACUGAGACACGGUCCAGACUCCUACGGGAGGCAGCAGUGGGGAAUAUUGCGCAAUGGGCGAAAGCCUGACGCAGCGACGCCGCGUGGGUGAUGAAGGCCUUCGGGUCGUAAAGCCUUGUGGGAGAGGGACGAACAACCCAGGGGAAUAAUACCCCUUGGGCCUGACGGUACCUCUUCAGAAAGCACCGGCUAACUCCGUGCCAGCAGCCGCGGUAAUACGGAGGGUGCGAACGUUGUUCGGAAUUACUGGGCGUAAAGCGCGUGUAGGCGGCUUUGUAAGUCAGAUGUGAAAGCCCUCGGCUCAACCGAGGAAGGGCAUUUGAAACUGCGAGGAUAGAGUACGGGAGAGGGUUGUAGAAUUCCAGGUGUAGAGGUGAAAUUCGUAGAUAUCUGGAGGAAUACCGGUGGCGAAGGCGGCAACCUGGACCGAUACUGACGCUGAGACGCGAAAGCGUGGGGAGCAAACAGGAUUAGAUACCCUGGUAGUCCACGCCGUAAACGAUGAACACUAGGUGCUGCGGGUAUCGACCCCUGCGGUGCCGUAGCUAACGCGUUAAGUGUUCCGCCUGGGGAGUACGGCCGCAAGGCUAAAACUCAAAUGAAUUGACGG
Molecule: ribosomal RNA, 915 nt
Filed under: uncultured bacterium
Lineage: Bacteria
Description: bacterial SSU rRNA
Rfam family: Bacterial small subunit ribosomal RNA
Source: RNAcentral